Molecule: long non-coding RNA, 226 nt
Organism: Dipodomys spectabilis (banner-tailed kangaroo rat)
Lineage: Eukaryota; Metazoa; Chordata; Mammalia; Rodentia; Heteromyidae
Exons: 3
Source: RefSeq, a predicted model, not a curated record
UGUGGGGUGUGUGUGUGUGGGGGGGGCCAAGAGUGAUCAAGCUAGUUCUUCCAGAAGGAUCUGCUGGGAGGAAAUGGAGGCUUUCCACACAUGUGCAAAAAAAAAAAAAAAAAUACAUUUGGUCAAGAUCAACACGGGAGUUUGUGUCUUCCAUGAAGAACAACAUCAUCAUCAACAACAACAACAAAAACCCAAGACAAAAAAAAAAAACACACAUCCACCACCU